RNAcentral lists this ribosomal RNA (245 nucleotides) under uncultured bacterium. RNAcentral's name for it is "partial 16S ribosomal RNA". It matches the Rfam family "Bacterial small subunit ribosomal RNA", at positions 532 to 776 of the family's 1533-position model. The record is from RNAcentral.
GUCCAAACGUUGUUCGGAUUUACUGGGUUUAAAGGGCGCGUAGGCGGUGCGCUAAGUCGGUGGUGAAAUACUUCGGCUCAACCGGAGAAUUGCCGCUGAAACUGGCGUGCUCGAGGGAGGUAGAGGUGCGUGGAACUUCCGGUGGAGCGGUGAAAUGCGCAGAUAUCAGGAGGAACACCGGUGGCGAAGGCGGUUCUCUGGGCAUUACCUGACGCUGAGGAGCGAAAGUGUGGGGAGCGAACAGG